Acanthopagrus latus (yellowfin seabream) is the source of this 371-nucleotide long non-coding RNA. RefSeq lists it as uncharacterized. The record is from RefSeq and is a predicted model, not a curated record. NCBI's taxonomy places the organism in Eukaryota, Metazoa, Chordata, Actinopteri, Spariformes, Sparidae. The transcript is spliced from 2 exons.
CGGUGCGUCCGCAGAGGCGAAUCCAACACGCCGCUGACGGCAUCCUCACACAGAUCGGGUGUGGGGGGGAGGUUUCACACUCACUCAUUCAUUGACCCGCUUCAGUCCUCCCGGUGCUAACACAGUACAGACUGGGAGAUGUACAGCUUUGACUUGGUGCCGUCCAGCCGUUUGAACCACACCUCGUCGUUGUUGACGGUGGUGAUGAUGGCGCUGCGGGACACAAACACACAACGAUGUUAGCACAUGAAAUACAAUACAAUCUUGAUUUUCAUAUUAACAGAUAUCCACAAUAUCAUUUAAAGUUUUUCCAAUGAUGUCAGGUUGCUAAAUAUGGCCAACAGUUCUAAUAAAUUAGGUUUGUGCAUGUG